GUCGAGAAUCUUUCACAAUGGGGGCAACCCUGAUGGAGCGACGCCGCGUGGAGGAUAAGGUCUUCGGAUUGUAAACUCCUGUCAUGCGUGAACAAGGUUGCUUGGAUAAUACCUGAGCAAAUUGAUGGUAGCGCAAGAGGAAGAGACGGCUAACUCUGUGCCAGCAGCCGCGGUAAUACAGAGGUCUCAAGCGUUGUUCGGAAUCACUGGGCGUAAAGGGUGCGUAGGUGGCGUGGCAAGUCAGUUGUGAAAGCCCGGGGCUCAACCUCGGAACUGCAUCCGAUACUGGCAUGCUAGAGUACUGGAGGGGUGACUAGAAUUCUCGGUGUAGCAGUGAAAUGCGUAGAUAUCGAGAGGAAUACCAAAGGCGUAGGCAGGUCACUGGACAGUUACUGACACUGAGGCACGAAGGCCAGGGGAGCGAACGGGAUUAGAAACCCUAGUAGUCC
RNAcentral lists this ribosomal RNA (449 nucleotides) under uncultured bacterium. RNAcentral describes it as "bacterial SSU rRNA". It matches the Rfam family "Bacterial small subunit ribosomal RNA", at positions 354 to 796 of the family's 1533-position model. The record is from RNAcentral.